GGCGGCAUGCUUAACACAUGCAAGUCGAACGGCAGCAUGAUGUGUAGCAAUACACAUUGAUGGCGAGUGGCGGACGGGUGAGUAACGCGUAGGAAUCUGCCUUGAAGCGGGGGACAACCCGAGGAAACUCGGGCUAAUACCGCAUAAUCUCGAGAGAGCAAAGCUGGGGUAACCUGGCACUUCAAGAGGAGCCUGCGUCCGAUUAGCUAGUUGGUAGGGUAAAAGCCUACCAAGGCGAUGAUCGGUAGCUGGUCUGAGAGGAUGAUCAGCCACACUGGGACUGAGACACGGCCCAGACUCCUACGGGAGGCAGCAGUGGGGAAUAUUGGACAAUGGGGGCAACCCUGAUCCAGCAAUGCCGCGUGUGUGAAGAAGGCCUUCNGGUUGUAAAGCACUUUAGUUUGGGAGGAAGGUAUUUUGUUUAAGAGAUGAGAUACUUGACUGUACCGAAAGAAUAAGCACCGGCUAACUCUGUGCCAGCAGCCGCGGUAAUACAGAGGGUGCGAGCGUUAAUCGGAGUUACUGGGCGUAAAGGGCGCGUAAGCC
RNAcentral lists this ribosomal RNA (546 nucleotides) under uncultured bacterium. RNAcentral's name for it is "bacterial SSU rRNA". It matches the Rfam family "Bacterial small subunit ribosomal RNA", at positions 38 to 577 of the family's 1533-position model. The record is from RNAcentral.